Molecule: ribosomal RNA, 497 nt
Filed under: uncultured bacterium
Lineage: Bacteria
Description: partial 16S ribosomal RNA
Rfam family: Bacterial small subunit ribosomal RNA
Source: RNAcentral
GAUGAACGCUGGCGGCGUGCCUAAUACAUGCGAGUCGAGCGAACGGACGAGAAGAUUGCUUCUCUGAUGUUAGCGGCGGACGGGUGAGUAACACGUGGAUAACCUACCUAUAAGACUGGGAUAACUUCGGGAAACCGGAGCUAAUACCGGAUAAUAUUUUGAACCGCAUGGUUCAAAAGUGAAAGACGGUCUUGCUGUCACUUAUAGAUGGAUCCGCGCUGCAUUAGCUAGUUGGUAAGGUAACGGCUUACCAAGGCAACGAUGCAUAGCCGACCUGAGAGGGUGAUCGGCCACACUGGAACUGAGACACGGUCCAGACUCCUACGGGAGGCAGCAGUAGGGAAUCUUCCGCAAUGGGCGAAAGCCUGACGGAGCAACGCCGCGUGAGUGAUGAAGGUCUUCGGAUCGUAAAACUCUGUUAUUAGGGAAGAACAUAUGUGUAAGUAACUGUGCACAUCUUGACGGUACCUAAUCAGAAAGCCACGGCUAACUACGUG